GUGAUUUAAGGAGAAGAUUUAGUUCGAGGAGAAAGGUGAGAUCUUAGGUAGUGAUUUAGAACAUUUUUGUUUGUGAAUAAAAAACUUUGCAUAUAAAAUAAUGAAAUUAAUCAAAUAUUCAAGAGCACCAUCAUCUGGAUUAUCAUAGUAACAGAUAAUAUCCCUAAGAUUAAAAGAGUAAACAGAAUUAGCAGCUUCAAAAAAGUGAGUCUCUAGAUCUGUCCAAAUUUUUGGGAUAUUUCACAAUCAAAAAAUAGGUGAGAAAUUGUUUCUCCAUGCAGAAGGUGGCGAUAUAUGAGAGCAGGCAUACGUCACUUCCUUGUCGUCAGAACAACCAUGCCCCCUUUUGGGUGAAAACAAGCGCUGUAAAAGUGCCGGUGCCAGAUUGGAAAAACUAGUGGCACCAGGCCUAUUAAAAGCUGCUGCGUCGUAUUUUUCACGUUAAACAAUAAUAAAUAAAAAAAAAACAGUUUACGAUGUUCUUUACUUCCCCAAAGAGCGAAGAACAGUAAAAGAAGAGAUCUGCGGCUUCAGGCCAUCCGCAGAGAGGAUGAACAUGGUAAACUGCAGGACCCAGCCAGUCAAUACGUGGCAAAAUCUUACUCCAGUUAUAAGAAGUGGACUACAGUCAAAUAUUUUAUUGCGUGUAGUCCUGCAGACAGCAUCACCUUCUUGUCCAAAGGCUGGGGUGGAAGAGCAUCUGAUGUUAAGAUAGUGAGGGAAUCUGGCUUCAUUUCACCACUGUACCACCAUCCUGAGGACCAGAUUUUGGCUGAUCGGGGUUUUGCCCUUAAAGACGACUUUGCCUUGCUUGGUGCCAGUCUCCAAAACCCCAGCCUUCACUCACGGCAGGAAACAACUCCCAGGCAAAGACGUUGAAGAGUCCAGAAUGAAAUCAAAGUUCGGAUUC
Long non-coding RNA from Anguilla anguilla (European eel), 910 nucleotides. RefSeq lists it as uncharacterized. The transcript has 3 exons. NCBI's taxonomy places the organism in Eukaryota, Metazoa, Chordata, Actinopteri, Anguilliformes, Anguillidae. The record is from RefSeq and is a predicted model, not a curated record.